GACGAACGCUGGCGGCGUGCUUAACACAUGCAAGUCGAACGGAAAGGCCCUGCUUUUGUGGGGUGCUCGAGUGGCGAACGGGUGAGUAACACGUGAGUAACCUGCCCUUGACUUUGGGAUAACUUCAGGAAACUGGGGCUAAUACCGGAUAGGAGCUCCUGCUGCAUGGUGGGCGUUGGAAAGUUUCGGCGGUUGGGGAUGGACUCGCGGCUUAUCAGCUUGUUGGUGGGGUAGUGGCUUACCAAGGCUUUGACGGGUAGCCGGCCUGAGAGGGUGACCGGCCACAUGGGGACUGAGAUACGGCGCAGACUCCUACGGGAGGCAGCAGUGGGGAAUAUUGCACAAUGGGCGGAAGCCUGAUGCAGCAACGCCGCGUGCGGGAUGACGGCCUUCGGGUUGUAAACCGCUUUCGCCUGUGACGAAGCGUGAGUGACGGUAAUGGGUAAAGAAGCACCGGCUAACUACGUG
This 468-nucleotide ribosomal RNA is filed under the name uncultured bacterium. RNAcentral describes it as "partial 16S ribosomal RNA". It matches the Rfam family "Bacterial small subunit ribosomal RNA", at positions 28 to 507 of the family's 1533-position model. The record is from RNAcentral.